RNAcentral lists this long non-coding RNA (331 nucleotides) under Homo sapiens (human). RNAcentral describes it as "HSALNT0409330". The record is from RNAcentral. Lineage: Eukaryota; Metazoa; Chordata; Mammalia; Primates; Hominidae.
CCCGAGUGGAGUGGAAUGGAAUGCAAUGGAGUGGAAUGCAAUUUAAUGGAAUUCAAUGGAAUGGAAAAGAAUGGAAUUGAAUCAACAAGUGGAGUGGAAUGGAAUGGAAUGGAUUGGAAUGGAAUGGAAUGGAAUGGAAUGGAAUGGAAUGGAAUGGAAUGGAAUGGAGUGGAAUGGAAUGGAAUAGAAUGGAAUUGAAUCAACAAUAGUGGAAUGGAAUGGAAUGGAAUGGAAUAGAAUGGAAUGGAAUGGAAUGGAAUGGAAUGGAAUGGAAUGGAAUGGAAUGGAAUGGAAUGGAAUUAAAAGGAAUAGAAUGGAAUUGAAUCACUCC